Molecule: ribosomal RNA, 466 nt
Filed under: uncultured bacterium
Lineage: Bacteria
Description: partial 16S ribosomal RNA
Rfam family: Bacterial small subunit ribosomal RNA
Source: RNAcentral
GAUGAACGCUGGCGGCGUGCUUAACACAUGCAAGUCGAACGGAAAGGCCCAAGCUUGCUUGGGUACUCGAGUGGCGAACGGGUGAGUAACACGUGGGUGAUCUGCCCUGCACUUCGGGAUAAGCCUGGGAAACUGGGUCUAAUACUGGAUAGGACCACUUCUUGGAUGGUGUGGUGGAAAGUUUUUUCGGUGUGGGAUGAGCUCGCGGCCUAUCAGCUUGUUGGUGGGGUAAUGGCCUACCAAGGCGUCGACGGGUAGCCGGCCUGAGAGGGUGUACGGCCACAUUGGGACUGAGAUACGGCCCAGACUCCUACGGGAGGCAGCAGUGGGGAAUAUUGCACAAUGGGCGCAAGCCUGAUGCAGCGACGCCGCGUGGGGGAUGACGGCCUUCGGGUUGUAAACUCCUUUCGCUAGGGACGAAGCGUUUUUGUGACGGUACCUAGAGAAGAAGCACCGGCUAACUACG